GGGGGAGGUCUGAUACAUAUCCGAUCUCAGACGAAAUCUUAUCUCACUGAGCAGACUAGAUUCGAGAGGCUAUAGGAUGGUAGCUGAUGGAGAAAUCUUGAAGUACUUUGCGGUGAUAGGAAUAUUCUGAAGGAGAAGAAAAGAAGGAGAGGAUAUUACUAUCUGAUGGAGAGCCCAGUGCGAGGUAGAGCUUCAAGAGCCAGAUGGAGCCCAGAGUGAGGUGGAGCUCCAGAUGGAGGUGGAUCGGGCA
This 250-nucleotide long non-coding RNA is filed under the name Elaeis guineensis (African oil palm). Its description in RNAcentral is "long non-coding RNA (EGUI_LNC001932)". Lineage: Eukaryota; Viridiplantae; Streptophyta; Magnoliopsida; Arecales; Arecaceae. The record is from RNAcentral.